RNAcentral lists this ribosomal RNA (430 nucleotides) under uncultured bacterium. Its description in RNAcentral is "bacterial SSU rRNA". It matches the Rfam family "Bacterial small subunit ribosomal RNA", at positions 354 to 776 of the family's 1533-position model. The record is from RNAcentral.
GUAGGGAAUCUUCCACAAUGGACGAAAGUCUGAUGGAGCAACGCCGCGUGAGUGAAGAAGGUUUUAGGAUCGUAAAACUCUGUUGUUGGAGAAGAACAGGGACUAGAGUAACUGUUAGUCCUUUGACGGUAUCCAACCAGAAAGCCACGGCUAACUACGUGCCAGCAGCCGCGGUAAUACGUAGGUGGCAAGCGUUGUCCGGAUUUAUUGGGCGUAAAGCGAGCGCAGGCGGUUUUUUAAGUCUGAUGUGAAAGCCUUCGGCUUAACCGAAGAAGUGCAUUAGAAACUGGGAAACUUGAGUGCAGAAGAGGACAGUGGAACUCCAUGUGUAGCGGUGAAAUGCGUAGAUAUAUGGAAGAACACCAGUGGCGAAGGCGGCUGUCUGGUCUGUAACUGACGCUGAGGCUCGAAAGUAUGGGGAGCGAACAGG